This 82-nucleotide microRNA precursor is filed under the name Aotus nancymaae (Ma's night monkey). Its description in RNAcentral is "miRNA (ENSANAG00000000642.1)". Lineage: Eukaryota; Metazoa; Chordata; Mammalia; Primates; Aotidae. The record is from RNAcentral.
UAGGUUGGUGCAAAAGUAAUUGCGGUUUUUACCAGUACUUGCAACCACAAAAACCGCAAGUACUUUUGCACCAACCUAAUAC